UAGUCCACGCAGUAAACGAUGAAUGUUAGUCGUCGGGUAGCUAGUCUAUUCGGUGAUGCAGCUAACGCAUUAAACAUUCCGCCUGGGGAGUACGGUCGCAAGAUUAAAACUCAAAGGAAUAGACGGGGACCCGCACAAGUGGUGGAGCAUGUGGUUUAAUUCGAAGAUACGCGAAGAACCUUACCUGGCCUUGACAUAUUUUAGAAUUCUUUAGAGAUAGAGAAGUGCCUUCGGGAGCUAAUAUACAGGUGCUGCACGGCUGUCGUCAGCUCGUGUCGUGAGAUGUUGGGUUAAGUCCCGCAACGAGCGCAACCCUCGUCACUAGUUACCAACGGUUCGGCCGAGGACUCUAGUGAGACUGCCUUCGCAAGGAGGAGGAAGGUGAGGACGACGUCAAGUCAUCAUGGCCCUUACGGCCAGGGCAACACACGUGCUACAAUGAUCGGUACAAAGCGUAGCGAAACGGCGACGUUGAGCAAACCGCAAAAAGCCGGUACACAGUGCGG
RNAcentral lists this ribosomal RNA (506 nucleotides) under uncultured bacterium. Its description in RNAcentral is "bacterial SSU rRNA". It matches the Rfam family "Bacterial small subunit ribosomal RNA", at positions 791 to 1296 of the family's 1533-position model. The record is from RNAcentral.